AAUGAGCGCUGGCGGCAGGCCUAACACAUGCAAGUCGAACGGAUCCUUCGGGAUUAGUGGCGGACGGGUGAGUAACGCGUGGGAACAUACCCUUUGGUACGGAAUAGCCUCGGGAAACUGGGAGUAAUACCGUAUGUGGUCGAGAGACGAAAGAUUUAUCGCCAAAGGAUUGGCCCGCGUUGGAUUAGGUAGUUGGUGGGGUAAUGGCCUACCAAGCCGACGAUCCAUAGCUGGUUUGGGAGGAUGAUCAGCCACACUGGGACUGAGACACGGCCCAGACUCCUACGGGAGGCAGCAGUGGGGAAUCUUAGACAAUGGGGGAAACCCUGAUCUAGCCAUGCCGCGUGAUCGAUGAAGGCCUUAGGGUUGUAAAGAUCUUUCAGGUGGGAUGAUAAUGACUGUACCACCAGAAGAAGCCCCGGCUAACUCCGUGCCAGCCGCCGCGGUAA
This 449-nucleotide ribosomal RNA is filed under the name uncultured bacterium. RNAcentral describes it as "partial 16S ribosomal RNA". It matches the Rfam family "Bacterial small subunit ribosomal RNA", at positions 29 to 523 of the family's 1533-position model. The record is from RNAcentral.